This 1434-nucleotide ribosomal RNA is filed under the name uncultured bacterium. Its description in RNAcentral is "bacterial SSU rRNA". It matches the Rfam family "Bacterial small subunit ribosomal RNA". The record is from RNAcentral.
AGAGUUUGAUCCUGGCUCAGGAUGAACGCCGGCGGUGUGCCUAAUACAUGCAAGUCGUACGCACUGGCCCAACUGAUUGAUGGUGCUUGCACCUGAUUGACGAUGGAUCACCAGUGAGUGGCGGACGGGUGAGUAACACGUAGGUAACCUGCCCCGGAGCGGGGGAUAACAUUUGGAAACAGAUGCUAAUACCGCAUAACAACAAAAGCCACAUGGCUUUUGUUUGAAAGAUGGCCUUGGCUAUCACUCUGGGAUGGACCUGCGGUGCAUUAGCUAGUUGGUAAGGUAACGGCUUACCAAGGCGAUGAUGCAUAGCCGAGUUGAGAGACUGAUCGGCCACAAUGGAACUGAGACACGGUCCAUACUCCUACGGGAGGCAGCAGUAGGGAAUCUUCCACAAUGGGCGCAAGCCUGAUGGAGCAACACCGCGUGAGUGAAGAAGGGUUUCGGCUCGUAAAGCUCUGUUGUUGGAGAAGAACGUGCGUGAGAGUAACUGUUCACGCAGUGACGGUAUCCAACCAGAAAGUCACGGCUAACUACGUGCCAGCAGCCGCGGUAAUACGUAGGUGGCAAGCGUUAUCCGGAUUUAUUGGGCGUAAAGCGAGCGCAGGCGGUUGCUUAGGUCUGAUGUGAAAGCCUUCGGCUUAACCGAAGAAGUGCAUCGGAAACCGGGCGACUUGAGUGCAGAAGAGGACAGUGGAACUCCAUGUGUAGCGGUGGAAUGCGUAGAUAUAUGGAAGAACACCAGUGGCGAAGGCGGCUGUCUGGUCUGCAACUGACGCUGAGGCUCGAAAGCAUGGGUAGCGAACAGGAUUAGAUACCCUGGUAGUCCAUACCGUAAACGAUGAGUGCUAGGUGUUGGAGGGUUUCCGCCCUUAAGUGCCGGAGCUAACGCAUUAAGCACUCCGCCUGGGGAGUACGACCGCAAGGUUGAAACUCAAAGGAAUUGACGGGGGCCCGCACAAGCGGUGGAGCAUGUGGUUUAAUUCGAAGCUACGCGAAGAACUUUACCAGGUCUUGACAUCUUGCGCUAACCUUAGAGAUAAGGCGUUCCCUUCGGGGACGCAAUGACAGGUGGUGCAUGGUCGUCGUCAGCUCGUGUCGUGAGAUGUUGGGUUAAGUCCCGCAACGAGCGCAACCCUUGUUACUAGUUGCCAGCAUUAAGUUGGGCACUCUAGUGAGACUGCCGGUGACAAACCGGAGGAAGGUGGGGACGACGUCAGAUCAUCAUGCCCCUUAUGACCUGGGCUACACACGUGCUACAAUGGACGGUACAACGAGUCGCAAGCUCGCGAGAGUAAGCUAAUCUCUUAAAGCCGUUCUCAGUUCGGACUGUAGGCUGCAACUCGCCUACACGAAGUCGGAAUCGCUAGUAAUCGCGGAUCAGCAUGCCGCGGUGAAUACGUUCCCGGGUCUUGCACUCACCGCCCGUCA